AGAACGAACGCUGGCGGCAGGCCUCAAACAUGCAAGUCUAGGGGGUGUAGCAAUACAUCACCGGCGGACGGGUGCGUAACGCGUGGGAAUGUACCUAUUGGUUCGGAACAACUGAGGGAAACUUCAGCUAAUACCGGAUGAGCCCGAAAGGGGAAAGAUUUCUCGCCAAUAGAUCAGCCCGCGUCCGAUUAGCUAGUUGGUGGGGUAAAAGCCUACCAAGGCGACGAUCGGUAGCUGUUCUGAGAGGAAGAUCAGCCACACUGGGACUGAGACACGGCCCAGACUCCUACGGGAGGCAGCAGUUGGGAAUCUUGGACAAUGGGGGAAACCCUGAUCCAGCCAUGCCGCGUGAGUGAUGAAGGCCUUCGGGUUGUAAACUCUUUCGACGGGGACGAUAAUGACGGUACCCGUAGAAGAAGCUCCGGCUAACUCGCGCCAGCAGCCGC
RNAcentral lists this ribosomal RNA (446 nucleotides) under uncultured bacterium. Its description in RNAcentral is "SSU rRNA". It matches the Rfam family "Bacterial small subunit ribosomal RNA", at positions 26 to 518 of the family's 1533-position model. The record is from RNAcentral.